GUUUUAUUUUCGGAAUUACCCCUGUGCUGUCUAACCCUAGCUAGGUCCAGGCGGGGUCUCCAUUCCAGUUCCACGGCGCGGAGAUGACCCGCCGCCGCAGCCCACGUCUCCAUCCCCAGAUCCCGGCCAAUGAGCAGCCCGCCGGAAUGGCUGUCCGCCGCAGCCCGCGGCUCCUCUCCCAAAAUCACACCACCGAGGAUGGCUCCAGCAUAGCCCUCCGCCGCAGCCCGCGGCUCAACCCUCAGAUCCCCGUGAGUGGCAAGGGCGCCGGAGCGACCCGCCGGCGCAGCUCGCGUCUCAACCCCCAAAUCCGCGUGGGUGAGGAGGGCUCCGGGGUGACCCACCGCCGCAGCCCGCGGCUCAACCCCCAACUCCACGCGAGCGACGAGGGCGCCGGCCGCCGCACCACGCGGCUCCACCACUCGAGCGAGGAGGGCUCCGGAGUUACACGCCGCCGCCGCCGCCGCGGCACCUCGGCGGCUGCGCCUGCCGCCCUGCCGGACGACGACGAUAUGCUCCGGGAGAUCCUCCUGCGCCUCCCGCCUCAGCCGUCCUCCCUCCCGCGCGCUUCCGCCGUCUGCAAACGCUGGCAACGCGUCGCCACCGACCCCCGGUUCCUCAGCAGCUUCUCUGCCCACCACCGCAAGCCGCCCCUCCUCGGCUUCUUUGAGCCCGACUUCUACGACAUCGUGUUCACCUCCAUCCUGGACCCUCCCGACCGCGUCCCUCCCGAGAGGUUCGACGCACGCCGUCAGAUCCGCAGCUUCCGGAAGGCCGAAGUGCUCGGUUGCCGCCACGGCCUCGUCCUCCUCCUGGAGUCAGACGGGUUCAUUGUAUGGGACCCAAUCACCAGCGAGCAUCGCCGCAUCGACGUUCCAGAAGCGUUUGAAAUGUCAUGGUACUUCUAUGGGGCUGUGCUCUGCGCUGCCGCCGACCAGGGCCAUAUGCACGGCAGCUGCCACUCGAGGCCCUUUAAUUUGGUCUUGAUGGCCCCGUGCCAAGGCUCACAAAGCGAUGGUCCACCCAUCGCUUGCGUAUACUCCUCGGAGACUGGACUAUGGGGCGAUCUGAUCUCAACAACGGAUCGAUGUGAGUUUGUUCAUUGUAAUCGUGGGAUCCUUGUUGGUAAUGUCCUUUACUGGUCAUCUAAGAGUGUGAGUGCCGAAUCAAAUUAUUUGGAUUUGGAUGAGCUCGCAGACGACAUAAUUGAGUUUGAUUUGGAUAGCCAGAGUCUUGCUUUGAUCAAGGGGCCUCGAGGACUGAAUUAUUCCACCACGCAUCAGAUAAUCCAGUUAGAGGAUGGUGAUCUUGGUCUUGCCAUAUUGUCUCAUGGUAGAUUCGAAAUGUGGCAGAGGAAGGUCAGUUGUCAAGGUGGUGCCACAUGGUUCCUGCAGAAGACCCUUGACAUUGAUAGUAUUCUUGGGCUCCCUUCUCAGGUUGAGGAAUCAUCGAUGAGAAAGGUGGAAAUACUGGGGUAUGAUGAGGAUAAUGGUGUAAUGUUUUUAUUUCUGGACACCAAUGUCUACAUGCUUCAAGUGAUGUCAAUGCAAUCCAGGAAGCUUCAUCAAAGCCGUUAUGCCAAUAACUGUCAUCCUUUCACAAGUUUCUAUGGACCAGGUAGCUAAACAUUAGUGUUUUCCGGAACGAUCUUAGCCAUUCCCGAUGGAUACGGUGGAGCUGAAAUGCUGCAAGAUAUGUAGGAUGGCUGUCUGGUCUCAUGUGGUAAUAUGCUGGAAUGGUCCUAAAGGUGAAGUAGUCAAGGGCUGCUGUUGUCCCUAGUCCCUACUGAGUUUGUCGCGUUCCAUCAAUGUGGUCGGCAGUGUACACACAUCAUGUGGAAGAAAUUGCUGAACAUGUGCCUUCGUUGAGUAAGUUUGUAAUGUGACAAGAUGAAUUCUAAUACCGAAGCGAGGGAAGUAGACCUAUCUUAUUUUACAUGGCUGUGCUAGGCAGUUAUUUAUUUGGAAGCACACUCCUACAGGGGUGUUUGCACUACUAAGAUUGUCUAUCGCAGUUUUAAACUGGUCAACAGUCGACAUUAUGGCCUACCGUCUGCAGUUAGAGCUGCCUGUAACCUGAAACCAUACUGAGUCUGUAGAAGAUGCGGCCAUUUUGAAGAUGAUGUUCACUCUUUUCUUUUUUUU
Molecule: RNA transcript, 2144 nt
Organism: Triticum aestivum (bread wheat)
Lineage: Eukaryota; Viridiplantae; Streptophyta; Magnoliopsida; Poales; Poaceae
Exons: 3
Source: RefSeq, a predicted model, not a curated record